RNAcentral lists this long non-coding RNA (291 nucleotides) under Physcomitrium patens. Its description in RNAcentral is "long non-coding RNA (PPAT_LNC007314)". The record is from RNAcentral. Lineage: Eukaryota; Viridiplantae; Streptophyta; Bryopsida; Funariales; Funariaceae.
UUUAUUUAAGAUUUGGUAUAGGAUAUAGGAUUUAGAGUUUGAUUUAGGUUUUAAAAUUUGUCUAGGAUUUGGUUUAGGAUUUAGGAUUUAGAAUUUAUCUAGGGCUCGAUUUAGGAUUUAGAGUUUGUUUAGGAUUUGGUUUAGGAUUUAAGAUUUGUUUAUGGCUUGAUUUAGGAUUAGAAUAUGACAUAGGAUUUAAUUAAGGACCAUUAUGGUUUCAAUUAAGAUUAAAGUAGGAUUUGACUAAGAGUUCUUUAAGUUUUUUUUAAUACUUUUUUAGGAUUUUUUUUU